AGUGAACGCUGGCGGUAGACCUAACACAUGCAAGUCGAACGGCAGCACAGUAAGAGCUUGCUCUUACGGGUGGCGAGUGGCGGACGGGUGAGGAAUACAUCGGAAUCUACUUUUUCGUGGGGGAUAACGUAGGGAAACUUACGCUAAUACCGCAUACGACGUACGGGUGAAAGCAGGGGAUCUUCGGACCUUGCGCGAUUGAAUGAGCCGAUGUCGGAUUAGCUAGUUGGCGGGGUAAAGGCCCACCAAGGCGACGAUCCGUAGCUGGUCUGAGAGGAUGAUCAGCCACACUGGAACUGAGACACGGUCCAGACUCCUACGGGAGGCAGCAGUGGGGAAUAUUGGACAAUGGGCGCAAGCCUGAUCCAGCCAUACCGCGUGGGUGAAGAAGGCCUUCGGGUUGUAAAGCCCUUUUGUUGGGAAAGAAAAGCAGCAGGUUAAUACCCCGCUGUUCUGACGGUACCCAAAGAAUAAGCACCGGCUAACUUCGUG
This 492-nucleotide ribosomal RNA is filed under the name uncultured bacterium. Its description in RNAcentral is "partial 16S ribosomal RNA". It matches the Rfam family "Bacterial small subunit ribosomal RNA", at positions 29 to 507 of the family's 1533-position model. The record is from RNAcentral.